RNAcentral lists this ribosomal RNA (354 nucleotides) under uncultured bacterium. RNAcentral's name for it is "bacterial SSU rRNA". It matches the Rfam family "Bacterial small subunit ribosomal RNA", at positions 559 to 917 of the family's 1533-position model. The record is from RNAcentral.
CGUAAGCGCACGCAGGCGGUCUGUCAGUCGGAUGUGAAUCCCCGGGCUCACCUGGGAACUGCAUUCGAACUGGCAGGCUGGAGUCUUGUAGAGGGGGGUAGAAUUCCAGGUGUAGCGGUGAAAUGCGUAGAGAUCUGGAGGAAUACCGGUGGCGAAGGCGGCCCCCUGGACAAAGACUGACGCUCAGGUGCGAAAGCGUGGGGAGCAAACAGGAUUAGAUACCCUGGUAGUCCACGCUGUAAACGAUGUCGACUUGGAGGUUGUUCCCUUGAGGAGUGGCUUCCGGAGCUAACGCGUUAAGUCGACCGCCUGGGGAGUACGGCCGCAAGGUUAAAACUCAAAGGAAUUGACGGG